This 305-nucleotide ribosomal RNA is filed under the name uncultured bacterium. Its description in RNAcentral is "bacterial SSU rRNA". It matches the Rfam family "Bacterial small subunit ribosomal RNA", at positions 337 to 660 of the family's 1533-position model. The record is from RNAcentral.
ACCUACGGGAGGCAGCAGUGGGGAAUAUUGCACAAUGGGGGAAACCCUGAUGCAGCGACGCCGCGUGAGUGAAGAAGUAUUUCGGUAUGUAAAGCUCUAUCAGCAGGGAAGAUAAUGACGGUACCUGACUAAGAAGCCCCGGCUAACUACGUGCCAGCAGCCGCGGUAAUACGUAGGGGGCAAGCGUUAUCCGGAUUUACUGGGUGUAAAGGGUGCGCAGGUGGCAGGGCAAGUCAGAUGUAAAAGCCCGGGGCUCAACCCCGGCGAGCCGUUGAAACUGUCGGACUAGAGACGGCGAGAAGUAC